Molecule: ribosomal RNA, 405 nt
Filed under: uncultured bacterium
Lineage: Bacteria
Description: partial 16S ribosomal RNA
Rfam family: Bacterial small subunit ribosomal RNA
Source: RNAcentral
AUUGAACGCUAGCGGGAUGCUUUACACAUGCAAGUCGAACGAGUGGCGGACGGGUGAGUAAUAUAUCGGAACGUGCCCAGAAGCGGGGGAUAACUACUCGAAAGAGUGGCUAAUACCGCAUACUUUUGGAGCGGCCGAUAUCGGAUUAGCUAGUUGGGGGGGUAAAGGCUCCCCAAGGCAACGAACCGUAGCUGGUUUGAGAGGUGGACCAGCCACACUGGGAAUGAGACACGGCCCAGACUCCUACGGGAGGUAGCAGUGUGGAAUUUUGGACAAUGGGGGAAACCCUGAUCCAGCCAUCCCGCGUGUAUGAGAAGGCCUUCGGGUUGUAAAGUACUUUUGGCAGAGAAGCGGUAUCUGCAGAAUAAGCACCGGCUAACUACGUGCCAGCAGCCGCGGUAAUUC